UUCCUCCCUUUGUUCGGUCAUUUGCUGGUUUUGGCCAUUGGGUUUCUCGAUUGCUUGAUUUGAUCUUGACGUGGGUGGUUCAGGGCUUGGUCGUGGCCGUCCGUCUCUUCGGAAGCUCCGCUCGAUGAUCCUGAGGAGCGACGAAGGCGGGUGUGGAGGCGAGAGAGGAAAGGCUCGUUGUCGUCAGCUUUACCCACAGACUCUGUCAGCUGAAGUUUCCAAAUUUGACAUGCAACUCUUUCACUGACUGUUGACAUCACAGCCUUGUUAUCAAGAAGAUGGAUUAUGUAGUUAUAUCCUUGAGUUUACCACGUGGACAGAGGAUGGAUGCUGCUAGUUGCAAAAAGGUUUAUCCCUCCAGACAUGUUCACCAUGGGAUAUUACAACUUGCAGAUUCCUUUGAUGGUCCAACAGCAUCACACUCUCACCUUUUUCUUUGGCUGUAUCUUUCAGAAUUUGGAACUUGGUAAUCUCUCAAGGACAUUAUUCUUUGUGCAACAUUUCAUCUAGCAUAGUUAUUUUCAUUUUUACCGGACUGGUACGAUAUCGGUAUAUCAUCCUAAAAAUAUAAUAUCGACCUUGGAGUGGUAAAUACCGAUCGGUACAUACUGUACCCAUCCAUAUUCUAUUGUUAUUAGCUUGUGAUUAUUGCACUUCAUACCACAAGCUCUAUUUGAGUGACCUUGGUGAGAACAUCAAAACACCAAGUGCAGUUCAACCACAUGCAGAAGAAUCUCAGCCAACUCAUCUUCAUGUUGAGAAGCAACCAAAUCUGUUGUUUCAUUCCUCUCUUUUCUCCAGCAUAAUACCCAGCCAGAGGCCCACAUCCUUCCCUGCUCAGUCCAUACAGAAUCUAUUGAACCAGAAGAAAACGACGAAGACCAUGUUCCAGUGGCUGGGAGAACCACCAUAGUGUUAGCAGUCCAUGUUCUUGAACUCAUCAACAUUUUGUUAUUUUUCAGAAACAGUUCCAGUGAUGGAAACAUGUUGACAUAGACUUUUAUCCAUUUGGAUUGAAUUUGAUUCAAAAUAGUUGUUA
Molecule: non-coding RNA, 1039 nt
Organism: Musa acuminata subsp. malaccensis (wild Malaysian banana)
Lineage: Eukaryota; Viridiplantae; Streptophyta; Magnoliopsida; Zingiberales; Musaceae
Source: RefSeq, a predicted model, not a curated record